Molecule: ribosomal RNA, 139 nt
Filed under: uncultured bacterium
Lineage: Bacteria
Description: partial 16S rRNA
Rfam family: Bacterial small subunit ribosomal RNA
Source: RNAcentral
AGUGGGGAAUAUUGCNCAAUGGGGGAMACCCUGAUGCAGCGACGCCGCGUGAGUGAAGAAGUAUUUCGGUAUGUAAAGCUCUAUCAGCAGGGAAGAAAAUGACGGUACCUGACUAAGAAGCCCCGGCUAACUACGUGCC